This 378-nucleotide ribosomal RNA is filed under the name uncultured bacterium. RNAcentral's name for it is "bacterial SSU rRNA". It matches the Rfam family "Bacterial small subunit ribosomal RNA", at positions 521 to 896 of the family's 1533-position model. The record is from RNAcentral.
UAAUACGUAGGGGGCGAGCGUUGUCCGAAGUUACUGGGCGUAAAGCGCGCGUAGGCGGUUCUUUAAGUUGAUUGUGAAAUCUUCACGGCUUAACCGGAAAACUGCGGUCAAGACUGGAGAACUGGAGAUUGGGAGAGGGAAGUGGAAUUCCUGGUGUAGCGGUGAAAUGCGUAGAUAUCAGGAGGAACACCCAUGGCGAAGGCAGCUUCCUGGCCCAAUUCUGACGCUGAGGUGCGAAAGCGUGGGUAGCGAACGGGAUUAGAUACCCCGGUAGUCCACGCCGUAAACGAUGGAUACUAGGUGUUAGAGGUAUCGACCCCUCUAGUGCCGGAGCUAACGCAUUAAGUAUCCCGCCUGGGGAGUACGGCCGCAAGGUUG